This 253-nucleotide ribosomal RNA is filed under the name uncultured bacterium. RNAcentral's name for it is "partial 16S ribosomal RNA". It matches the Rfam family "Bacterial small subunit ribosomal RNA", at positions 524 to 776 of the family's 1533-position model. The record is from RNAcentral.
UACGUAGGUGACCAGCGUUGUCCGGAUUUACUGGGCGUAAAGAGCGCGCAGGCGGUCGUUCAAGUCGAGUGUGAAAGCCCCCGGCUCAACUGGGGAGGGUCACUCGAUACUGAUCGACUUGAAGGCAGGAGAGGGAAGCGGAAUUCCCGGUGUAGUGGUGAAAUGCGUAGAUAUCGGGAGGAACACCAGUGGCGAAGGCGGCUUCCUGGCCUGUUCUUGACGCUGAGGCGCGGAAGCUAGGGGAGCAAACGGG